Molecule: transfer RNA, 119 nt
Filed under: Neofusicoccum parvum UCRNP2
Lineage: Eukaryota; Fungi; Ascomycota; Dothideomycetes; Botryosphaeriales; Botryosphaeriaceae
Rfam family: tRNA
About the family: Transfer RNA (tRNA) molecules are approximately 80 nucleotides in length. Their secondary structure includes four short double-helical elements and three loops (D, anti-codon, and T loops).
Source: Rfam by way of RNAcentral
GCGUUGGUGGUUUAGUGGUAAAAUUCAUCGUUGCCACGUGACUGGAUACCAUCUGGGACCCCCCAGAUGCUCCGGCCGCUAGUUUCGAUGAGCCCCGGGUUCGAUUCCCGGCCGACGCA